Long non-coding RNA from Dreissena polymorpha, 454 nucleotides. RefSeq lists it as uncharacterized. The transcript is spliced from 4 exons. The record is from RefSeq and is a predicted model, not a curated record. Lineage: Eukaryota; Metazoa; Mollusca; Bivalvia; Myida; Dreissenidae.
UUUCGAUACGUCACUAAGUUACCUUGAUGUUUUUUGAAAAUGAGCAGGUUCUUCAUAAAUGUGAAACUUGAUAGAUAGCGAGUAUUUGCGAUAGCUAUUUAUACGUACGGCAAUCGAAAGAAGACACGGACGUAAACAGGAUCGAGAAACAAGAAAAAUGGUUGUUUUAUAUCACCACACUGAUGCGGAAUCGGCCCAAAUAAUCCUAGAGUCCCUACUACUGAAAAAGGCCAAAGGUGCAUUUGGGACUGGGGUGUACCUCACCAAAAUGGGCCCUGAUUCGUCAUUGAAAAAGCUUCUUGUGAAUAACUACGAUGACGACGUGUCAAAAGCUAAGAUGAAGAAGCUGAUUAACCCUUUGCAUGCUGGGAAAUUUGUCGUCUGCUAAAAUGUCGUCUGCAGAAUUUCUAAAAUUAGCAUUUUCUUCGAUUUUUUUCAAAGAAUACUAUCAAAA